Molecule: ribosomal RNA, 253 nt
Filed under: uncultured bacterium
Lineage: Bacteria
Description: partial 16S ribosomal RNA
Rfam family: Bacterial small subunit ribosomal RNA
Source: RNAcentral
GACGUAGGGGGCAAGCGUUGUCCGGAUUUAUUGGGCGUAAAGGGCUCGUAGGCGGCUGGAUAAGUGGGAUGUUAAAUCCCCCGGCUCAACCGGGGACCUGCAUCUCAUACUGUUCAGCUCGAGCACAUCAGAGGAGACUGGAAUUCCCGGUGUAGCGGUGAAAUGCGUAGAUAUCGGAAGGAACACCAGUGGCGAAAGCGGCUUCCUGGUCCAGCACCGACGUUCAGGCACGAAAGCGUGGGGAGCAAACAGG